This 27-nucleotide non-coding RNA is filed under the name Rattus norvegicus (Norway rat). The record is from RNAcentral. Lineage: Eukaryota; Metazoa; Chordata; Mammalia; Rodentia; Muridae.
CCCCAGGACUACAUUGAAUUUCUCUUC